UACGAAGGGGGCUAGCGUUGUUCGGAAUUACUGGGCGUAAAGCGCGCGCAGGCGGCUCUCUAAGUCAGUGGUGAAAUCCCAGAGCUCAACUCCGGAACUGCCAUUGAAACUGUUUAGCUUGAGGACGAGAGAGGUGAGUGGAAUUCCCAGUGUAGAGGUGAAAUUCGUAGAUAUUGGGAAGAACACCGGUGGCGAAGGCGGCUCACUGGCUCGUAUCUGACGCUCAGGCGCGAUAGCGAGGGGAUCAAACAGG
RNAcentral lists this ribosomal RNA (253 nucleotides) under uncultured bacterium. Its description in RNAcentral is "partial 16S ribosomal RNA". It matches the Rfam family "Bacterial small subunit ribosomal RNA", at positions 524 to 776 of the family's 1533-position model. The record is from RNAcentral.